RNAcentral lists this non-coding RNA (45 nucleotides) under Trichobilharzia regenti. The record is from RNAcentral. Lineage: Eukaryota; Metazoa; Platyhelminthes; Trematoda; Strigeidida; Schistosomatidae.
AUCCAGCUGACGAGUCCCAAAUAGGAAGAAAUGCGCAUCUUAGAU